UUUCCUCAAGGGAUGGCACCGCAUCAGAGGGCCAGUUUGGGAUUCCAUUGCUGGAAGAUGAGUUUAUCAUCAAGGAGAGUGAAACUUUGCUCUCGGUAGAUGGCCAUCACCAGACCCUGAAGAUGAACAGGAAGAAAAACAUAACUGCUUAAGAAACAUGUGAGAUGAGGCAGACAUGGAAGAGGCUGAAGUCCGUGUAAAGGCUCCGUCGUCAUUUAAGUUGCUCGUCACUUAUACAGCAGCUCGAUGGGCUGGGUUACCUGUGUCUGUGUCCUAAAUCAGGCUAAAAACUCGAGAAUCAGAAAGUUCUGAGGUUUCUUUGAACUCUAAAAAUUUCUUCUUAAGUAGCCGCAGGAAAGUCACCUCAGCGUGUCCGGCAUUUCACUUCCCAGGCCACAAAGGGUUUGAGGAAGUUAGGAAGGAAAAGACACUUUAUUCAAGCCCCCUGGGGUAGACAGUUGAUGUAUUUUUGGCUGCCCGACUCCCUAGAACACUCUUCCUAUUUUGGGAAAUUCUCCAUCUUUUGAGUCCUGUCCUUCCUACCACAGAAGCCAGAAACUCUUUCCUGCCUCCCGUCAGCCAGGCCCCCGCGUGGGAUAGAGGACCCCCGUCAGACACUUGUGUGACACCUCCGUUCAGAGGCUGGUGCCACACAGGUUCACUCUGGGACAGCGACUGCACAGAUUCCGGAGGCAGUGGGCCGAGGGUCAGCUGUAGGCUGCAGCUGGCUUUCUGGGGCGGCUGUGGCUGUGGCAUUGCCUCCAUCUGGUGACUCCACAGGAUCAUCCUGUGGCAGGGUUUGCAGUUGCUCAGGCUGUGUAUCUGGUCCUGGAGAGUCCGUGUGCUACCAAAACCAUUCGCCACAUUUCCUUAAUGCUUAAACCAGCCAGUUUGCAACUGACAACUAACUGACACCGUCUUUACAUGCAAAGCCACGAAGGAGGGAAUUUAAAAAUGAAUGGGAUCUCGUCCUCAAGGAGUCUAUGUAACACCGUGGAGAGAAGGAAAGUAAAUGACCACAAUAGCCAGCGGCCUCCGAGGGGCAGAAGAGUGCUGUAGGAAGAGCAGACCCUCCGAGCCGUCCUGCCGGGGCUUCCAAUCCUGGCCCCACUGCUGUUAACUUCGUUUCCUUGGACUAGUUGCUUAACCUCUCUGUGCCUCAGUUUUUAAUCUGUAAAAUGGGGAUAAUAAUAUGAUUACCUUAUAGGGUUUUAUGGUGGAGAGUCCUCAUUGCCUCCCCACCUGCGUUCUCUCCUUUCUGGGCACACGGCUGAGCAGUUCGAAAUUGUAUUUCACCCUCCGUUAGAAGGAACUCUGUGCAACCAUGUGACUAAGGUUAACAGCAGAGUGAGAGCACAAGCCAU
Molecule: long non-coding RNA, 1364 nt
Filed under: Equus caballus (horse)
Lineage: Eukaryota; Metazoa; Chordata; Mammalia; Perissodactyla; Equidae
Description: lncRNA (ENSECAG00000044016.1)
Source: RNAcentral